This 497-nucleotide ribosomal RNA is filed under the name uncultured bacterium. RNAcentral describes it as "partial 16S ribosomal RNA". It matches the Rfam family "Bacterial small subunit ribosomal RNA", at positions 28 to 507 of the family's 1533-position model. The record is from RNAcentral.
GAUGAACGCUGGCGGCGUGCCUAAUACAUGCAAGUCGAGCGAACGGACGAGAAGCUUGCUUCUCUGAUGUUAGCGGCGGACGGGUGAGUAACACGUGGAUAACCUACCUAUAAGACUGGGAUAACUUCGGGAAACCGGAGCUAAUACCGGAUAAUAUUUUGAACCGCAUGGUUCAAAAGUGAUAGACGGUCUUGCUGUCACUUAUAGAUGGAUCCGCGCUGCAUUAGCUAGUUGGUAAGGUAACGGCUUACCAAGGCAACGAUGCAUAGCCGACCUGAGAGGGUGAUCGGCCACACUGGAACUGAGACACGGUCCAGACGCCUACGGGAGGCAGCAGUAGGGAAUCUUCCGCAAUGGGCGAAAGCCUGACGGAGCAACGCCGCGUGAGUGAUGAAGGUCUUCGGAUAGUAAAACUCUGUUAUUAGGGAAGAACAUAUGUGUAAGUAACUGUGCACAUCUUGACGGUACCUAAUCAGAAAGCCACGGCUAACUACGUG